AUGCCACAACUAAACAAAUCAACAUGAAUUUUGUCUGUGCAGAUCUCAUAGGGCAGUAAUCAACUGGAGCAAAACCAAGAACAAAAGGAAACAAGGAGAGGGUUCCUACAGAUUAUGCCAUAUACAAAUAUACAUCAUUGCAGUGCUUGCCUCAAAGCUCCUUCAUUGGGAAAUCAAUGGCCUAACGGAAGCUCGUCCACCCCGGCAUAAAGCACUCGUCUAUAAACCUGAUUUCUGCGUUGUCGGUUGACGCACUGCACAUCAACAGAAGUUCUAAGUACAUGCCACAAUGGCUUCACAGAAGUUCUUGCAAAAUAUAAUCAAAAGUAGUGACCACAAUCGCAUUGUGUAAUUGCUCCUUGUCAAAGCACCCAAGAAUGCAACCAACAAGGUUCGAUAGCAAAAUAAAUGAGGAGAGACAUACCUCAACCUUGUAGUACAGACCCAUAGGAUAAACUGAUCCUAAGCUUGACUCCAAUCCUUCAAUAACAACUUUUUGGCAAUCAUCUAAAAUAUAUUUAGGCCGACUCAUCAACAAAAAAGCCUCUUGUUCUUCACUGUUGCACUCUGUUUCAGGAACUCAUGAUCAGUCUUUUUCCCUCCCAACAAUAAUUUUCUCCUUCUCAAAAGACUCAAGAGUGCAAGGAAUAAGGUCUUGCAGGGAAAAAAACAAGCGAAAAAAAUGCAUCUUGCUAUAGGUAAUGUUGAAGCCAAAUAAACAUAAUAGAAGCAUCCUUUACGAUCUAUGAGAACCAGUUUCAUUGGCACAAGAAAACUCGCCAUUCUGAGGCAGCUCCACAGUCUGGUAGAUUAGCCCAUCACU
RNAcentral lists this long non-coding RNA (823 nucleotides) under Triticum aestivum (bread wheat). RNAcentral's name for it is "long non-coding RNA (TAES_LNC027575)". Lineage: Eukaryota; Viridiplantae; Streptophyta; Magnoliopsida; Poales; Poaceae. The record is from RNAcentral.